This 109-nucleotide small nuclear RNA is filed under the name Heterocephalus glaber (naked mole-rat). Lineage: Eukaryota; Metazoa; Chordata; Mammalia; Rodentia; Bathyergidae. The record is from RNAcentral.
GUGCUUGCUUCAGGAACAUAUAUACUAAAGUUGGAAUGAUAAAGAAAACUUUAGCAUGGUGCCUGCACAAAAAAAGAAUGCCCUGAUUUGUGAAGUAUCUCAUUCUUUU